This 594-nucleotide long non-coding RNA is filed under the name Prunus persica (peach). Its description in RNAcentral is "long non-coding RNA (PPER_LNC008245)". Lineage: Eukaryota; Viridiplantae; Streptophyta; Magnoliopsida; Rosales; Rosaceae. The record is from RNAcentral.
CGCAGUAUAGUACACCUGCCUCCCCGUCACGCUAUCGUACGCCAUCUGAGUAUACGGCGACGCCUCGGCGUACGUCGCCACAUAUUUUGGGGGCUGCGGAGGCAGAGUACUUGGCUGAGGCUGCGGAGGCAGAGUACUUGGCUGCGGCUGCGGUGGCAGAGUACUUUGCUGCUGCUGCUGCUGCUGCUGCUGUGGUACCACAUUGUACACCGGCUGAUCCCGGUAAACUUCAGACCCCAUCCGCGGCUGCAUGUGGUAGUAUCCUUGACCGGGCGGGCCGGUCACCGGUCGUACCAUUGGCGGCGGCGCGUGAUACAUAGCGCCGCCUCCGGUGGUGGCUGUGAUCAUGUACAUCGGCUGUUCAGGUGCGGCCGUCCCUGGAAACCCCACACUGGGGACCUGCUUCUCCGCCCAGUACCCCGGCGGCGGCGGCGCCGUCACCGGAGGCGCCUUCUCUGGAAGUUUCUGUACGUAAUAAUCUCCGGCACCGCCGCCGUACCCUCCGACGAGAUUCUCGUCAACCUGUCUCCGAUACAUGGCCUGCUGAUGAUCUUGCUCUGCAAUUUGUAGCCUCUGCAAAUGCCUCUGGAACUC